Molecule: long non-coding RNA, 344 nt
Organism: Rhinolophus ferrumequinum (greater horseshoe bat)
Lineage: Eukaryota; Metazoa; Chordata; Mammalia; Chiroptera; Rhinolophidae
Exons: 2
Source: RefSeq, a predicted model, not a curated record
UGUCGCCUGCACGGUCCCUCAUUUCAAGACUGCUGCUUCCCGGGAGACGAAAACUGAAAAUGGUCAGAAGAGACCCUGCUGGCUGCAGAGACAAGCAGGGCCCGGGGGCUCCCGCCGCGCAGGCACCAGCCACUGGUACGGUGGGUCCCCAGGGCAGAGGCCACCUCUGGGGGACAGCGCUUCUAUCCAACACGGAAACAUCACACGUCACUGGAGCUGAUACCCCAUCCAUCCUCAGAUAUACCCACAUCUCAGAGAUGCUAGGAUACGGGGGAAAAUAUGCUUCUCAGAACCCAUGCUCUUCCACUGUCCUUCUACGCUCCGGGGAGCGACGCCAGCUCUGC